This 382-nucleotide ribosomal RNA is filed under the name Epictia columbi. Its description in RNAcentral is "partial 12S ribosomal RNA". It matches the Rfam family "Bacterial small subunit ribosomal RNA", at positions 795 to 1384 of the family's 1533-position model. Lineage: Eukaryota; Metazoa; Chordata; Lepidosauria; Squamata; Leptotyphlopidae. The record is from RNAcentral.
GCCAGCCGUAAAAAGGCAGCAUCAAACAUUAACUGCCCGCCCGAUUAGUACGAGCGAAAGCUUAAAACUCAAAGGACCUGACGGUGGCCCACAUCCUCCUAGAGGAGCCUGUUUCAUAAUCGAUAACCCACGUUUAACCUCACCACUUCUAGCCAAUCAGCCUAUCUACCGCCGUCGUCAGCCCACCCUGUGAAGGCACCAAAGUGAGCACAAUAGUUCAUACACUAAAACGACAGGUCAAAGCGUAGCACAUGAAGUGGAGAAAAAUGGGCUACAUUUUCUACAAAGAACACACGGAAGGACGAAAUGAAAACAACGCCUGAAGNGAUUUAGCAGUAAGACCGGAUAGAAUACCCAUCUGAACAAAUGCACUGGGACGCGU